RNAcentral lists this long non-coding RNA (2605 nucleotides) under Sus scrofa (pig). RNAcentral's name for it is "lncRNA (ENSSSCG00025036081.1)". The record is from RNAcentral. Lineage: Eukaryota; Metazoa; Chordata; Mammalia; Artiodactyla; Suidae.
AUGAUGUUGCCGUUUGCUGCCAGUUGGCCCUGCCCCCACAACCCAAGGCAGCAUCUUUCAAAACUAAGGAAUAAGUGUGUCAAUCUGGAGAUCCAGACUCGGUCCCCCCAAAGGCAAUGGUCCCCCUUUGAGGACCAGGGGGUCUCCGUCCCAGGGGACCCAAAACAGAACAUCUAUUUCCAUCUUGUCUGCCCGUUAAAUUGUCUAUGUACGGGUAUGCUUUCCAGUGUGCAAAAUAUAUUAGUCCAGGAGAAUAUGAUUUAUAAAUAAGUAGAUUCAUUGGGUGUUUGCGCUCAAAAUGGGGUUUUCCCCCUCUUGUGGGGCACAUUAAAAAGGAAUCUGAAAAACCAUUGAAAAUUGGUGUUACGGGCGGAACUGCAUGCCCCCCAAGUUCACAGGUUGAAAUCUAACCCCAGCUCCUCGGCAUGUGACUGCGUUUGGAUAUGGGGUAUUUCAAGCAGUAAGUUAACAUGAGGUCAUUAGGGUGGGCCCUCAUCCACUAUGACCAGUGUCCUGAUCAGAAGAGGAAAUUUAUCACUAAUAGGCAGAGGGGGGCCCUGUGAGGACAGGGGGAGAGAGGCCGCAGAGGAAAGCAGCCCUGCCACACCUUGCCCUUGGACUUCAGCCUCCAGAACUGUGGGAAUUCGCGUUUCUGCGGUUUGAGGCCCCCAGGUGCUGGCGGGAGGUUGGAAGCCUCUCUAGUCCACAGGGAACCUGCCCCUCUUUGGUGCCCCAGCUCCCCCAGCUCCCAGCCUCAUUCCUCCCAGGCUGCCUCAUUCUGAGUCCUUUGGAAGCAGCAGAAGCUGGAUCAGGAAAUAACUCUCCCACCAGCCCCAGACUAGCACCUGCCCAGUCUUCCGCCUGUGCCUCUUCUCCACACGUGGCUGGGGACACCCCUGUGCCAGCGCCUCCCAGGACUGAAGCCAUCACUGGUCAGUGACUUGCCCAGCUAAGUAAGUUGACAGCUAUGAGCAGUAUCAAAAUCCAUCCCUAAUUAUUCAGUCUAUACCCUUGGCAGAUGACUGCCAACAUGCUCCCCAUGUCUGCGAAGUGACUUCCAAACUUUUUCUCUUUUGGUCUUUUCAGGGCCGAACCCUCGGCGUACAGACGUUCCCAGGCCAGGGGUCGAACCCACACUUCAUCAGCGACGGGAGCCACUACAGAGACAACACUGGAUUCUUACCCUGCAGAAACUGUGAGAUAUUUUUACUCACAUUGUGAUUCCUACACAAAAUGCCAAAGUGUGAAAAAUAAAUUCUUCCUGGGAGGUGAUACGGACCUCAGGAGGGGCAGUGGACACUGUUGUGAAGAAAACUCACCGGCUUUAAGCGACAUAUCUAAGUUCUUUGGCCUCAGUUGUCUCAUCGAGAAAGUGGGAUUAAACAUUUCCUUAUCUGAGUGUUGUAAGCACUGCAUUUGGUCCAGAGUUAAGCUUAGAAAUAGUCGAGAAAUAAGUUUCGAACAAAGUGUCAAGCUGCAUGACAAAGAAGCAUCUCUCUUUCAUUAAUGUCCUGUGACAGAGUGAGCGGCAGAGACACAAUGAAAGGAUUCCGUAGCAGUUGAUUUUUCACAGAGACGAGAAAAGUGGUUUCUUUCUCUGUCCCAGAACUAAGGCUUGGUCAGAGGAUUUCAACAGAUAAUAACCAAAUGUCUGCAGGAAAUUUGCAGAAACAAUUGAUUUCCUUCCCAAGGACUGGAAAUGGCGCGGGCAGUUGGGCAAUAAAGGAGCUGCCGUAAUUUUCUGCUCCAUUUCUACGACGGCAACAAAAACAUGAUGGCGGAGAACACCGCCAAGUGACAAUCUUCAUUUCAUUCCUCGGGGCUGGAAAACACAUCCGUUUAUUAAGUCUCUAAAAGCUGGAACCACAGAUUGCAGCAACGAGACGCGACAGAGAAAAGAUUAGUUGGGUUGAGCCAACCGUAUGUGGCAACCGAAUGAAAAGAUGGUUCGAGAUGGUGCCCGUAUGGAGAAGCAGCGGGCCAGUCCCUGGGAAGACCAUGAACAGAGAGCGCUCAUUUACAUCCGACGUGAAGUGUGUCUUCCUAGGCGCCUGGCAAGCUCCCUAGAAAAGGAGAUUAAUGCAAGUGGGGAAUAUGAACUCUCUCUAGCAAACCACGUCCAUUUUCCGCCUGGGGAGGGCUCUGAGUGAUGGAUGCCACUGACCUUGGAGGAGGAGGAUGUGAAUGAGGUCUGUCCCAGUGCCUUCCGCUGCUUCCCGACUCUUCCCAACUUGCCUUUCACAGUGAAGUCUCAUCUGUCCCAACAUCCCUGGGCAAAGAGCGAGUCCACCUGAAUGCAUUUCACCAAAAAGAGGCUUUCCCUCUGUUCAAAUUUCAAAUGCUGAUUUAUGUCAAGUUGAACAUAUUUGUGUAGAAGUCUUUUCAGAAUUAAUGCCAGGCUUCCCUGCCCUCUCGGCAGGUACCCGUUUGGUGAGCCGGCCUAUAAGUCGGUACAGGGCACAGAGCCGGCUUAGAAGGGCACUAGACAGUGUCCCAUGCUUCUUGCUCUAUCACUUUAUUUCUUUUUAUAAUUCAAGGUCAUCAAUGUGACUCCUGCAGAGGGAGGGGUGCCUCUGUAGAGGUGGACAAGGUGUGAGAUGAAGCU